RNAcentral lists this ribosomal RNA (253 nucleotides) under uncultured bacterium. Its description in RNAcentral is "partial 16S ribosomal RNA". It matches the Rfam family "Bacterial small subunit ribosomal RNA", at positions 524 to 776 of the family's 1533-position model. The record is from RNAcentral.
UACGUAGGGUGCAAGCGUUGUCCGGAAUUAUUGGGCGUAAAGAGCUCGUAGGCGGUUUGUCGCGUCUGCCGUGAAAGUCCGGGGCUCAACUCCGGAUCUGCGGUGGGUACGGGCAGACUAGAGUGAUGUAGGGGAGACUGGAAUUCCUGGUGUAGCGGUGAAAUGCGCAGAUAUCAGGAGGAACACCGGUGGCGAAGGCGGUUCUCUGGGCCUUACCUGACGCUGAGGAGCGAAAGCAUGGGGAGCAAACAGG